AUUUUCCCAAUAACAUUCAUCAUCAGAAACCAUUAGUGUACCAAUACCAAUUUUUAGACAAUCUGGAUCGUCCUCUGGUAAGUCCUGACAUUCUUCUAAUGUUAAUUGUUGCCCAAUAUGGGGAUGUCUUUUUGCAAUUGCAUAUUCAGUUUGACAAAGUUCAUUUUCUAAUAUUUCACAAUCUUGUUUACACACACGUCGCAGUAUUGUAGAAUUAUAGCGAUAAUUAAAUAUAUUUUCUGAAACAUUUUUCAGAUUGAUCGGUAAAGGUAAGUAAUCAGAUCCAGAAUCAUAAACUGAUUUGGGUAAACCUUGAGUUUCUGGGUUUUCCAAUUGUUGUUUAUUGCUUGCCAAGGAUUUUAUUAUAAUUUUUUUCACUUCUUUUAAAAAGUUUUCAUUAGUUAUAAUCGGAUUUCGACAUAUUGGAAAAGUGGAGUAGCAAAGACUGGGAAGAGCAAAGUUUUCACAAUUGGAACUUAUAUCAUUUGAAUAUUUCGUCACUUGAAAAGCUUUCAUAAGUUUAUUUUCAAGGGAACUUUGCGAUAUGUUAUAAGGAAUAUAGACAAACUGUCCCUUCAAAUGAGAACUACAGACAUUCCCUAUAUAUUCUUGACAUAUCGGCUCUAACUUUCUCGGAGUAGUAACAUUAUUAGAUUUAGUUUUAUUUAUUUCAGCUGUCAUGUCUUCAGAUAUUAAAUUGGGAGUUGUUCUAAUUUCCACAACUAUCUCAUUAUCACUGCCUGUAGUUGGAAAUCCUGCUGAAUUAGUUGAUAAAUUGUUAUUAUCAAACUUUUCAAUAUCUUUCUCAAUAGUAAGCCUUGUAGAUAACUUUUUCUCAUAAUUUUGUUUAAUAACACAAGUAUAAAUUCCAGCAUCAUCCAUAGUUAAAUUUUUUAAUCUAAGAUUUGUACCAAUAGUUCCAUUGGUUUUAUCAAUUUUAGUUUGAAUUUUUGUCCUUGUAUUAUCUGACAAUGCCUUAUUAUCUUUCAGCCAAUAUACUUUAACAUUUUUCAUUAAAGUUUGUUGAAUAUGGUCUGGAGGAAAUUCUUUUAAAGAUGUUUCUACACCCUCCCUGUUUUUAGUAAAUUUUUCAACUUUAGUAAAAUUCAUUAUCGCUUCACAUUUAAAGCGAGCAUCGGUGCCGAGUAACUUUUGUAAAACAGAAGGAAGUGUUUUAGCGAAAUAAAUAUCAAGUUUUAUGUUCCAUACUUUCUGUUCUGGCGCACUUGAUUUAUGCAGUGAAAUUGAAUCAGUUUUAUUAAAAAUGGAUGAAUGACUUUCAUGAAAGACGAUAAAAACAAUAAAUAUACAAAAGUAUUGCAUGACUGGUAUAUCCCAUAACACCUUUGAAAAAUACCUUUUCUUAUAAUGAAAUGCUCUAAGAUUACAUGUUUAGUGCCAAAUCAACAAAUACUUAUCUUAUUCUUUUUAUAGGCUCAACAAUAGAAUUUCUACCUAUAACUUGGCUGUGAAAUAAUGUUAUUUACUUUAUCAACGUUAAAUGGAUCAUGACAUGACCAAAGAAUAAGAAAAUAUAGAGGUAGUCACAGAGCAAUU
Molecule: unclassified non-coding RNA, 1557 nt
Filed under: Melitaea cinxia (Glanville fritillary)
Lineage: Eukaryota; Metazoa; Arthropoda; Insecta; Lepidoptera; Nymphalidae
Description: misc RNA ENSMCXG00005000646.1
Source: RNAcentral